GUCGUAACAAGGUUUCCGUAGGUGAACCUGCGGAAGGAUCAUUACAGAGAACAUGCCCUUCUGGGUAUAUCUCCACCCUUUGUUUACAAUACCUGUUGCUUUGGCGGGCCCGUCCUUUGACCGCUGGCUCUUAGCUGGCUAGUGCCCGCCAGAGGACUCCAAAACCCCUAUAUUAUGAUGUCUGAGUAUUAUACAAAUAGUUAAAACUUUCAACAACGGAUCUCUUGGUUCUGGCAUCGAUGAAGAACGCAGCGAAAUGCGAUAAGUAAUGUGAAUUGCAGAAUUCAGUGAAUCAUCGAAUCUUUGAACGCACAUUGCACCCUCUGGUAUUCCGGGGGGUAUGCCUGUUCGAGCGUCAUUUCAACCCUCAAGCACUGCUUGGUGUUGGAUGCCAUCACUUGUGGUGCAUCCCAAAAGCAUUGGCGGCGGCGGUCCAGCUUCUAGCGUAGUAAUCUUCUCGCUCUGGAGUGUGGACUUUUGGCUGCCAGAACCCUCUUCCUCAAAAGGUUGACCUCGGAUCAGGUAGGGAUACCCACUGAACUUAAGCAUAUCAAUAAGCGGAGGAAAAGAAACCAACAGGGAUUGCCUCAGUAACGGCGAGUGAAGCGGCAACAGCUCAAAUUUGAAAUCUGGCCUUCCGGUCCGAGUUGUAAUUUGUAGAGGAAGCUUCGAGCGUGGUCCGGUCUAAGUUCCUUGGAACAGGACGUCAUAGAGGGUGAGAAUCCCGUAUGCGACUGGGUGCCUAAGCUCAUGUGAAGCUCCUUCGACGAGUCGAGUUGUUUGGGAAUGCAGCUCAAAAUGGGUGGUAAAUUUCAUCUAAAGCUAAAUACUGGCCAGGGACCGAUAGCGCACAAGUAGAGUGAUCGAAAGAUGAAAAGCACUUUGGAAAGAGAGUUAAACAGUACGUGAAAUUGUUGAAAGGGAAGCGCUUGCAACUAGACUUGCAUGCAGUUGAUCAUCCGAUGUUCUCACCGGUGCACUCGAUUGCAUUCAGGCCAGCAUUGGUUCUGGUGGUUGGAUAAAGGCCAGGAGAAUGUAGCUUCUCUCGGGAAGUGUUAUAGCCCCUGGUGCAAUGCAGCCUACCGGGACCGAGGACCGCGCUUCGGCUAGGAUGCUGGCGUAAUAGUUGUAAGCGACC
Molecule: ribosomal RNA, 1138 nt
Filed under: uncultured fungus
Lineage: Eukaryota; Fungi
Description: eukaryotic LSU rRNA
Rfam family: Eukaryotic large subunit ribosomal RNA (bases 509-1138)
Source: RNAcentral